CCUACGGUGUGCAGCAGUGGGGAAUAUUGGACAAUGGGCGAAAGCCUGAUCCAGCCAUGCCGCGUGUGUGAAGAAGGCCUUCGGGUUGUAAAGCACUUUCAGUGGGGAAGAAAGCCUUGGGGCUAAUACCCUCGAGGAAGGACAUCACCCACAGAAGAAGCACCGGCUAACUCCGUGCCAGCAGCCGCGGUAAUACGGAGGGUGCGAGCGUUAAUCGGAAUUACGGGGCGUAAAGCGCGCGUAGGCGGUCUGAUAAGCCGGUUGUGAAAGCCCCGGGCUCAACCUGGGAACGGCAUCCGGAACUGUCAGGCUAGAGUGCAGGAGAGGAAGGUAGAAUUCCCGGUGUAGCGGUGAAAUGCGUAGAGAUCGGGAGGAAUACCAGUGGCGAAGGCGGCCUUCUGGACUGACACUGACGCUGAGGUGCGAAAGCGUGGGUAGCAAACAGGAUUAGAUACCCCGGUCGUC
RNAcentral lists this ribosomal RNA (465 nucleotides) under Vreelandella stevensii. RNAcentral describes it as "partial 16S ribosomal RNA". It matches the Rfam family "Bacterial small subunit ribosomal RNA", at positions 338 to 795 of the family's 1533-position model. The record is from RNAcentral. Lineage: Bacteria; Pseudomonadati; Pseudomonadota; Gammaproteobacteria; Oceanospirillales; Halomonadaceae.